CAGCACUGCAUGUGGGGAGAAUCUCUGCCAGACUGAUGAGGAGCCCAAAAUAGAGGCUAUCGUGGUGUGGAGUGGUACAUUAAUCAAGGGAAUUCAGAGCCUGGCGCUUCUUAGUUUAUGCUGGAAUAAAUUAAGGCAAAAACUAAUCCAUCACGGUCACUCCCAGAUGCGGCCCCUUGCAUGGGGCAGGAACUGUAUCUCAGGGUGAGGCAUCGCUCUUCACCCGCUGCAUCCAUGAAGCUUGGAGGGGUCUGGCAGCCACUGAGGUGUCAGCUUGUUUGUGUCAUUUUGGUGGUCUGGGAAUUGAGUUAAUGGCAAGAGGCAGGGAGGACUGGGAUAUAACAGCCAAGAGGGAGCUGACUGUAUCAGACACCAUGGGAGCAGAGCGCUUAGAUGUCAUUACAAAAAAAAUAACCUGGCUUGCAGCAAAGAUUGAUGAUAAGAGAAGAAAGAAGAGGGGAAGGCCUUUUGAAAGCACACUUGCCUCAAUGAGGAGGAAACAGAAGCCACAAAUGUGCCUUGAAAAUGGCAGAGAAAAACGUGAGAAAGAGCUGAAACCCGUGAAGAUCUUGGAGCCAUCCUACCAGCCCUGGGCUGCUCGCCUCUGGACUACUUCUACAUGAGAGAGAAAGACACUUUAUGUUGUUGAAGUCAUUGUUUGUUUGCAUUUUCCAUGACCAGCAGAGAAAGUUCAACUUUACUGGUAAAAUAGAUAGGGUGCUAGUCCUCAUGGUGUUUAUAAUUUACAGUGGG
Molecule: long non-coding RNA, 753 nt
Filed under: Heterocephalus glaber (naked mole-rat)
Lineage: Eukaryota; Metazoa; Chordata; Mammalia; Rodentia; Bathyergidae
Description: lncRNA (ENSHGLG00000041877.1)
Source: RNAcentral